GUGGGGAAUAUUGGACAAUGGGCGAAAGCCUGAUCCGGCCAUGCCGCGUGUGUGAAGAAGGCCUUUUGGUUGUAAAGCACUUUAAGCGAGGAGGAGGCUACCGAGAUUAAUACUCUUGGAUAGUGGACGUUACUCGCAGAAUAAGCACCGGCUAACUCUGUGCCAGCAGCCGCGGUAAUACAGAGGGUGCGAGCGUUAAUCGGAUUUACUGGGCGUAAAGCGUGCGUAGGCGGCUUUUUAAGUCGGAUGUGAAAUCCCUGAGCUUAACUUAGGAAUUGCAUUCGAUACUGGGAAGCUAGAGUAUGGGAGAGGAUGGUAGAAUUCCAGGUGUAGCGGUGAAAUGCGUAGAGAUCUGGAGGAAUACCGAUGGCGAAGGCAGCCAUCUGGCCUAAUACUGACGCUGAGGUACGAAAGCAUGGGGAGCAAACAGGAUUAGAUACCCCUGUAGUCC
Molecule: ribosomal RNA, 451 nt
Filed under: uncultured bacterium
Lineage: Bacteria
Description: partial 16S ribosomal RNA
Rfam family: Bacterial small subunit ribosomal RNA
Source: RNAcentral